CUAUGUGUGUGUGUGUGUGUGUAGACGACAACAAUAACAACAACAAAAGCCUCCGGUUUGCUGUCGCCUGGCUGUCGUUCUGAGCUGAGGAUUUACACACACUCACACACACAGACACACACACAGUCACACACACACACACACUCAUACACACACACAGCAAAAUUGGUAGUGUUGAUUUCCCAGUGUCAAAUAUUCUGAGUUGAUCCGUGUUGAUCGUGGUGUUCUUUUAGCACUUACAGUGUUAAAACAGCUCUGGGGGCGGAGUUAUUGCGGCGAGUUAAGUGAUGCUCUCCUGACCGAGUUACUUGCACAUCCGGUUUCAACGCGCUCUUUCUUCUGGAAGUCACGGUGAAGAAAACCCGUGGUCAGGAAGAUAUUUAGCUGUUAUUUCAGAAGGUAAGUACACAUUAUAUUUACUUCUACAGGCUGUUCAUCUUCAUAUGAAAUGAUGUGUUAACUUCAAGUGUGGUGAGACGUGUUUUAUAUUUUAGUGAAGCUUGUGACUAAUAGCUAACUUAACGUUUGCUAACGUUAGUUGGUUGAAGGGAGGAGAAAUAAGCCAGGAAGUGUAACAUCAGUCUAUGUAUGAACCUGUUCAAACCGGCCGAGCAUAUUUAAUUCCAGGCCAAUAUAAUAAAUAUACUUUUUUUCUUUCAGUAAAUUUCUUGAAGAAUAUUUAACUUAAUUAUGCCACAUUAUUUUGCCAUCAGAAAUUCGACGAUCCACCAUGACAGGACAUAAACGAGAGUUUCCGGUACUUCUGCCUCGAGGGCUAGCUUUACUAACGGGAGUUUCGCGGUACUGCUGUGUCGAGGGCUAACGUUACUAACGGUAGUUUCGCGGUACUGCUGUCUCGCGCGCUAACAUUAUUAACGGUAGUUUCGCGGUACUGCUGUGUCGAGGGCUAACGUUACUAACGGUAGUUUCGCGGUACAGCUGUGUCGAGGGCUAACGUUACUAACGGUAGUUUCGCGGUACAGCUGUGUCGAGGGCUAACGGUAGUUUCGCGGUACUGCUGUGUCGAGGGCUAACGUUACUAACGGUAGUUUCGCGGUACUGCUGUGUCGAGGGCUAACGUUACUAACGGUAGUUUCGCGGUACUGCUGUGUCGAGGGCUAACGGUAGUUUCGCGGUACUGCUGUGUCGAGGGCUAACGGUAGUUUCGCGGUACUGCUGUGUCGAGGGCUAACGGUAGUUUCGCGGUACUGCUGUGUCGAGGGUUAACGUUAGUUUCGCGGAACUGCGGUCUCGCUGUCUUGCAUUUCACCGGCGUAUGGUUUAAUUGGCUGACUUUUAUCGCAGGCAUAUGCUAAACUGCGACAGGGACUAAAGAGGAAAAAGCGAGUGCCUAAUUGAUACCAAAACGUUUCUGCAAGAUAUCACCAUGCUGCUGAAGGUGAGAUACCAGAGUACCAAGAAGUACAUCCCAUUACAGCUAGGUUUCACCUAUUUGGAAUUCAUCACUGCAGGUGAGUAACAUAUUAUGUAAAAAACAAAUUAUUGCUGGUUUAACAACAAAUACACAAUGUUUAAGUGGCAUUGUUCAUAGGAUUGUCAUAAUCCUAAUGGGUUUUUAUUAUUUUACUUGUACUUGGUGCUGUCCGUCUUAUGGCGUGAAUAGUCUACUUCUUGCUGCAGGCCUUUUUUUGGUUUAUUUUGACAUUCUUAAAUACAGCAAACAUUGACAAUUAUGGAGCUUCUACCUCUUAUUGUUACUUUGUUUAAAUUCCAUAUCUGGAUUAUCUUGGUUGCUUGGCUACACAUUCAAGUCUUGCCACAACUGGAAAACAGGUCGUCUGCUAUUGCAGCUAUACACAACAGUAGAUAACUGAUGGUGUUUUUAGUUUUCAACUUGCUUCUGAAAGUUAUUGUUUUUUGUACAGUAAUGGCGACAACACAACAUUGUAAUACUGCUGUUAAGUCAAAGCAUGUAAUUUCAGAUAUGUUAUAUAGAUAAUAUGGUUGAUCAGUCAUUAUGUGCAGUUAAAACCUGUUUUUUAUCUUUAUGUUGUCAUGCUUUUCAUCCUGUAGUCAAAACAAAUUUGGACUCCAUGAUGCAGCUGAACUUCACAUAUUUGAUGAAACUGACACUGCAGUGGAGGAAGACAUUCUUCUUGAACUGAUAAGAGUCCAAUCCAGACCUUUGCCUGAUCGUGCGUGACAGCAUUUCAGAUAAAGAUCAUUCAACACCAUCUUCUCUCACGGAUACAUGACGCUUUCUUCAAGUGACAAUGACCUCUCCGGUCAAAGACAAAGGGGGAUUUUGAGCUCUGAGGUCAUGGACAGGUCUA
This is a long non-coding RNA of Pseudoliparis swirei, 2294 nucleotides long. RefSeq lists it as uncharacterized. The record is from RefSeq and is a predicted model, not a curated record. NCBI's taxonomy places the organism in Eukaryota, Metazoa, Chordata, Actinopteri, Perciformes, Liparidae. The transcript has 3 exons.